Molecule: transfer RNA, 59 nt
Filed under: Rhoptropus montanus
Lineage: Eukaryota; Metazoa; Chordata; Lepidosauria; Squamata; Gekkonidae
Description: Rhoptropus boultoni montanus tRNA-Cys
Source: RNAcentral
AAGCCCCGGCACCUUCUCUGGGUGUUGCCUCAGAUUUGCAUUCUGUUGUCUUCCCGGGA